Molecule: long non-coding RNA, 211 nt
Organism: Sander lucioperca (pikeperch)
Lineage: Eukaryota; Metazoa; Chordata; Actinopteri; Perciformes; Percidae
Exons: 2
Source: RefSeq, a predicted model, not a curated record
AAAAUGAUUCAAUGGAUUUAAAAAUGGUUGGCGAUUAAUGCAUUGCAGGGAGGAGAGUAGAGGAGGAAUGACAGAGGUUUAGGUGGAAAAAAACACUCAAUGUAUUUGGAGUUUGAUCUUCCCAAGUGUCCUGACCUAAAUAGCAAAAUUCUUCCCAAAUGUGAAUACCAAAAUUGGGUCACAUAUUCUACAGAAUACCAUCUUUGAUACU